UUGGGAAUAAUAUAGAACAACUCAUGACCAAAAUCUUGAUUUGGUUUGGUAAUUUAACAUUGUUAGUGAAGGAGAUCCUAGGAAAAUAUGUGGAAGAAUAAGAUGAAAAGAUGAGGAGCCGUGAAUCAAAGUUUUAGUGAGCUAUCUUAACUAGAAUCCCCAUCAUUGAUGGGUUUGGCUAAGCUGAGACUCAAACAGUCCAAGUCAUUCUCAUGUCAAGGCCCACUUGUGCCCAUUCUAAACCCAAACAACCCCCAUUGACUUAAAAAACAAACAUUGACAUUGACAAAACAAAAGCCACCUUCCUAAGUCUAAUUUCAGUAAUUUCUAUCAUUCCAUGCCUCUUUUUUGUUGUACCUAUAUCCCAAUUUUCUUGUUCCAGUGAAAUAAAUAAAUGAAUGGCAGGUCAAAUCUAAUGAUCCAACGCCUCCUUCGCUCCCCACCCUCUCUACCAUCCAAUCAAAUUUAAGUACUAAAAUUUUCCAACCACCACCACAAAGUAAUAAAAAUCUCUAAUCUAUGUAAAACACUAAAACCCAACCAAAAAAACCUACUUGACUUGAUCUUUCCCAAAUAAAAGGUACAACUUCUUAAAACUUAAAACUUAAAACUAGAAAGCAAUCCAAUUCCACAUGAUAAAAAUAAAAAAAUGUAAAACUUUAUAUUCAGUUCCUUAGACCCAUUCUCCAAAAAAUAAAAAUAAAAAAAUAAAAAGUUCCUUAUGAUCAGUAAAAUCUUUAACGCUAAAUCCUAUAUCUAAAAAAUUAUACGCAAGUAAUUUUUUAUAAUAAAAGAAAAAAGACAUGUGAAAAAGGAACGUUAAAUUAACGCAUUAAACGGCCUUGUUGGAGGUUGUCGUGAGAGGUGGGACUGGGAAACAUCUCAAGGACACGGACCUUUCCUUUGACAGAGUAAAAUCCACCAUUAGAAUGAGUAUCUGUAUGACCAUGACUAAAUCACCAACUACUCACCCACCACCAUAACUCCAUUUUAAUAGAGGAAAACUAAUUAAAUUUUAUGUAAUAAUAAUAAAUAAAAAAAAAGAACAAUAACAAAAACAGAAUAACCAAACCAACAAAUAAUUAUUUUUCUUUCUCCAAAAAAAAAAAAUUAUUGUUUUUUUUUUUAAUUUGUUAUAAAUAUAUAGAUAUAAUUUUUGGGUUAUGCUCCUGGAUAUUAUUGGAGCCUGUACUUGACCAGCAGCUCGUGAUCUGGGAUCCCUUUGAAACAUCCUCUGAACCAAUUCUUUUUUCUGGGUUUUUGUUCAUUUUUCAAGGGGUUCCAGCUUCUGGGUGUUUUUUGUUUUUUUGGGUUUUGAAAGCAAAGGAAUUUCUUUGACUUUUUGUGUUUUCUGGAAGCGUUUUUGGAAAUGUGGAGGGACCCUGGAACUCCUGCUGAUUCUUACUAUCAGGUCCGCCCUGAAUGCACCGAUGUUCCAAAGACCCGCUUCAAAAUCAAGGCUGCAUUUACUUCAGAAGGGUAUCUGGAUAUCAGCAAGACUCUAAGUCGAAUCCAUCAUGGGGGAACAAAGCUGUGAGGAUUGCUGCUUAUCAUAAUUAUUUUCCAAAUUAGGGGAUAGAUGAUACAUCCAUCAACUAGAGGAGAAGUAUGGGAAUUUCUACUAAGUUGUUUUGAUCCUCAGAGUACAUUUGAUGAACCUUAGCAGAUAUGGCAGCAUCGAAGGUAGUCCAAUUUCCUUUUCCAUGAAAUCCAAAAUUUAGUUUCUUAAGGUUUGUAAUGGGUAGCACAGUUUCUUUCUUUUUAUUUAAUUAUAAAGGGUAGCACAUAGUGGGGAAUUAAUGGGGAAGGGUUAGGGAGAGAUUUAUGGUGUUGUUGCUUAAAGGAUCAAAUGAGUGAUUAAGUUUAAUUUUCUUUUGGGCCAUUUAAUUGUCUUCUUUUAUGUGCUAGAUAAUAUGGCACUAAAUAUGAAAGCAAACAUAACAAAGUCAUUGGUAAAAUGGCUAUUCAAUUUAUCGAAAAAAUCCCAAAAGACCAAUGGACCAAAACUACCUUCAUCUGGAGUUUUCUGCAUUGUUGUCCCAAAGUCAUUGGUAGAUUCCUUCCCAAUGACUAUAAUAAAAUGAAAGGCAUUUUUCCACUUAUCCAAGGAAUCUCUUUCUUGGCAUUUGUAUUUGAGAUGGAGCUAUGCUCAGGUCAGUUUCUUCAGUAAAUUUAUGUGGUAAUAAAAUGAAAUGUAAUGAAAAGAAGAACAAAAACAAAGACACAGUAACCAAACAAGAUAUGAUUAUAUUUUGUUUACUUUGUUUAAACUUUCAGUUAUGUUAUUUACUUGGUCAUUAUUUGGGCUGUACUUGUCCUGCCGCUUGUGAACUAAGACCCCUUUGAAACAUCUUUAGAGGCAUCUAAGACAAUUCUUUUUCUGGGAUUUUUUUCAUUUUUCAAUGGAUUCCAGCACCUGGGUGUUCUUUUGUUCUUUUUUUUGGUUUUGAAAGCAAAGAAAUUGCUUUGAGCUUCUGUGUUUUUGGAAAUGUGGAGACCCUAGAACUCCUGCUGAUUCUUUCUACCAGGUCUGCCCUGAGUGCACUUGUGUUCCAGGGACCUGCUUCAAAAUCAAGGUCAAAACUUUGGGAUAUUGUUGCCGUUUAUGCCUGGAUAGAUAGAGAUGUUGGCUAUUUUGUCAAGGUGGGUGAUUCAAAGGGAUGUCUAAUCUAAUGUGCCGUUAAGGGCUUGUUCACAUUAUUUGCAAAUUGGGAUCCAUUUUCCAUUGGGUCUUGAAUCUUGAUAAUAUGUUUCUCCAUUCUCAUGACAUUUACAUGACAUGAAGUUAGCUGUGGUUCGGUCCAGGAAGCUCCUUUGAUCCCUCCUCCUCUAUUACUAGUUAAUGCAAGCAACUCUAAAGUGCAUGUUGGCUUUCAAAGAAUUACCAACUCACGGAUCUUUCCAUUGACAGAGUAAUCCACCAUAAUAAAACAGUUACCUGCUCAUCACCAACCACCACAUGUUGCGACGACCACUGCUUCUGGGAUUGCACAUCUUAUUUAAUUGGAUUAGUUUAGAAUUUCAGUUUCUUGGAUUUGAUUUCAUCUAUUUUUAGAUUACUGUCAGUUGGGAGUUUUAUGGAACAUUAUCUUUUAUUCCUAAACUGGUGUUUUUAUUUGACUAUAUGGUUAGACUUUGAUGAAUGAAAUUUGAGAUUGGAAAUAUCCUAAAA
Molecule: RNA transcript, 3172 nt
Organism: Quercus robur (English oak)
Lineage: Eukaryota; Viridiplantae; Streptophyta; Magnoliopsida; Fagales; Fagaceae
Exons: 5
Source: RefSeq, a predicted model, not a curated record